UAACGGCGAGUGAAGCGGCAACAGCUCAAAUUUGAAAUCUGGCGCAAGCCCGAGUUGUAAUUUGUAGAGGAUGCUUCUGGGCAGCGGCCGAUCUAAGUUCCUUGGAACAGGACGUCAUAGAGGGUGAGAAUCCCGUAUGUGACCGGCGCGCACCCUCCACGUAGCUCCUUCGACGAGUCGAGUUGUUUGGGAAUGCAGCUCUAAAUGGGAGGUAAAUUUCUUCUAAAGCUAAAUACCGGCCAGAGACCGAUAGCGCACAAGUAGAGUGAUCGAAAGAUGAAAAGCACUUUGGAAAGAGAGUUAAAAAGCACGUGAAAUUGUUGAAAGGGAAGCGCCUACAACCAGACUUCGCGGCAGUGUUCCGCCGGUCUUCUGACCGGUCUACUCGCUGUCGCGAGGCCAUCAUCGUCUGGGCCCGCCGGAUAAGACCUCAGGAAUGUAGCUCACCUUCGGGGGAGUGUUAUAGCCUCUGGUGAUGCGGCGCGGCUCGGGCGAGGUCCGCGCUUCGGCAAGGAUGAUGGCGUAAUGGUUGUCGGCGGCCCGUCUUGAAACACGGACCAAGGAGUCUAACAUCUAUGCGAGUGUUCGGGUGUCAAACCCCUACGCGUAAUGAAAGUGAACGGAGGUGGGAACCGCAAGGUGCACCAUCGACCGAUCCUGAUGUCCUCGGAUGGAUUUGAGUAAGAGCAUAGCUGUUGGGACCCGAAAGAUGGUGAACUAUGCCUGAAUAGGGUGAAGCCAGAGGAAACUCUGGUGGAGGCUCGCAGCGGUUCUGACGUGCAAAUCGAUCGUCAAAUUUGGGUAUAGGGGCGAAAGACUAAUCGAACCAUCUAGUAGCUGGUUCCUGCCGAAGUU
This 855-nucleotide ribosomal RNA is filed under the name Acervuloseptoria ziziphicola. RNAcentral describes it as "eukaryotic LSU rRNA". It matches the Rfam family "Eukaryotic large subunit ribosomal RNA", at positions 84 to 968 of the family's 3401-position model. The record is from RNAcentral. Lineage: Eukaryota; Fungi; Ascomycota; Dothideomycetes; Mycosphaerellales; Mycosphaerellaceae.